AGAUUAACCUAGUGUUCUUGAGUUAUAAUCGGUCUGUUUGAAUAUUUAUGGAUGUGUAUGACUGUUAGUUGGUACUUGGUAAGUUGUUCUCUGACCAGUUUGGGUGGAAAUUGGUUCAUUUCUUGGUCUUCACACUGUCUCUUUGAUUGUCUUCAAAUUUAGAAUUUGACAUUGGAUUUGUUGUUGUGGGAGUUAGAUGGAAAUAGUUGGGGUUUAUUUACACAAUUGGAUCCCUUUUUGUGUAAAGAAAAGAGGGUAGGGAUGAAACUAAUUGUGAAGGACCAAUGAUUCAGAUGGGUCUUGGAAAUUGGAAUAUGGUGAAUCUUUUUUGCCUAAUUCAUUGUCUUCGCUGGUAAUGUGAAAGGCAACGAUGUGAAGUUUGGAGCAGGAAGUGCAAUGAUUUCUGGUCCCGUUCCUACAAGCUUCUUUCAUUCCUCCUUAUCAAAAAGUCAUUACUUAACAUCAAAAGUAUUUUGCAGUAUUAAUUCUCAAAAUCCCUCUGGGGCUUCUCGUUGCAGGCAAUUGGGUAGGCUUUCCUCAGUGACAACAUUAUGUUGGAGAUGGGCAGUUCUGUAGAUUCUAACUAAAUUGAAGGGUGUAGUAAUAGGAUUGUAAAAGCAUCUGGCAAUUGGUCUAGAUGCUUUGUGGACUUUAUUAAGUGCUGCAUACCAUUAUCAAACACUUUCCAUUAGAUAAAGUAGCGUUCAUCACUGAAUUCUGCUGAUGAAUGGGAAGGGGGCCUUAUUUUCGUUAUUUUUGGUUCUCACUCUGGUGGAGUCGUCAGGCAGUUCGGGCAAAAUGUUGCCUGUUAAUCUGGGUUCUGGGGCAACAUUUCUCUACAGCUGGACAAUGUGCAGUGCAGGUGUAUUUGUACUCGUUGCUUUUGUUCUAUCCAUGUAUCUUCUCUUUGAGCAUUUAGCCGCUUACAAUCAACCUGAGGAGCAGAAAUUCUUAGUUGGGCUCAUUCUGAUGGUUCCUGUUUAUGCACUGGAAUCGUUUAUGUCACUAUUGGAUUCAAAAGCUUCAUUCAACUGCGAAAUAAUCCGGGACUGUUAUGAGGCUUUUGCCUUAUAUUGCUUUGAGAGAUAUCUGAUAGCUUGCUUAGGUGGUGAAGAAAAAACAAUUGAAUUCAUGGAAAGUCAAAGCCUUAAUACUUCUUCCAGCAUACCUCUUUUGGAAGAAGCUUAUGCUUAUGGGGUUGUAGAACAUCCUUUCCCGCUAAAUUGCUUGCUAAAGGAGUGGCAUCUUGGUUCUGAGUUCUAUCAAGCUGUUAAAAUUGGCAUUGUUCAGUAUAUGAUACUAAAGAUGAUCUGUGCUCUGCUGGCUAUGGUCUUUGAAUUCUUUGGUGUUUAUGGUGAUGGGAAAUUUGAGUGGAAAUAUGCAUAUCCAUACUUGGCAGUUGUUCUUAAUUUUAGUCAAACCUGGGCCUUAUAUUGUCUUGUGCAGUUCUAUACUGUCAUAAAAGAUAAGUUGGCACCGAUUAAACCUUUGGCCAAGUUUUUGACAUUCAAGUCGAUUGUAUUCCUGACAUGGUGGCAAGGUUUGGCUGUUGCAUUUCUUUUUUCGAUGGGAGCCUUUAAAGGGGCCCUGGCACAGGAGUUGAAAACACAUAUACAAGACUACAUCAUCUGUAUUGAGAUGGGUAUUGCUGCAGUGGUCCAUCUGUAUGUUUUUCCAGCAGUACCUUACAAGCGUGGAGAAAGAUGUGUGCGCAACGUGGCUGUAAUGACUGACUACGCAUCCUUAGGAGCACCUCCAGAUCCAGAGGAGGUUCAAGACUGUGAAAGAUCUACUAGAGUAUCCUUUCCUCGUCAUGAUGAGAGAGAAAAGCGUUUGAAUUUCCCCCAGAGUGUUCAUGAUGUGGUUUUUGGAAGCAGUGAAAUAAUUGUAGAUGACAUGAAGUUCACGGUUUCACAUGUUGUGGAACCAGUUGAAAGGGGAAUUGCAAAAAUAAACAAAACUUUACACCAGAUAUCUGAAAAUGUCAAACGGUUCGAGGAACAGAGAAAGAAAUCUAAGGAUGAUAGUUAUCUUAUCCCCUUGAAUUCAUGGACGAAAGAAUUUUCCGAAGUGCACGAUAACAUUAUCGAAGGUAGUGUUAGCGACAGUGGUUUGCCUGAUGGGAAAAGACCAAAUUACCAAUCCAAAGCCACACCGUAUCAGUUUAGAAACAUAUGAUAUUCACCUUCGUUUUAUGAACUGUGAAUUUAUAGAUUUAUCCGACAAUGUCAACAUAUUUUUAAUUCUUUGGAGCAUGCUUUGAUGGAAGAUUUUGCUGCAGAGCCGUGAAUGUGUGAAGAAAAAGCUACUAAAGCAGGUAGUGUUGUUGUCUUAAAUACAUAAAAGAUGAAAAGCACAGGCCUCAACACCUUGAUUGUGCACUCUUAAAAAAAAAAAAAAA
Molecule: RNA transcript, 2401 nt
Organism: Camellia sinensis
Lineage: Eukaryota; Viridiplantae; Streptophyta; Magnoliopsida; Ericales; Theaceae
Gene name: protein LAZ1 homolog 1
Source: RefSeq, a predicted model, not a curated record